Molecule: ribosomal RNA, 522 nt
Filed under: Triticum aestivum (bread wheat)
Lineage: Eukaryota; Viridiplantae; Streptophyta; Magnoliopsida; Poales; Poaceae
Description: partial small subunit ribosomal RNA
Source: RNAcentral
AUGGAGGUGCUCUGGAAUGGAAAAGACGGCUUUGAAGUGAAGCUUUUAACUGGGAGAAGGCAGUACACAGUGAGCCUUGAAAAUAGGACAUGCUCAUGUGGUUAUUUUCAGUUAGCAGGUCUACCAUGUUCUCAUGCAAUUACUGCUAUCUACAAGUGUAAGAAACUUGUGGAAGAUUAUAUUGAUCCUUAUUACUCAGUUGAUACCUUCAACAGCAUAUAUGAGCAUUGUCUAGAGCCUGUAGAAGGUGAAGAACUUUGGCGUAUUUCUGCCAAGCCUAGGCCUCAAGCUCCAGGUUAUGUGCGAAUGCCAGGCAGGCCAAAGAAAAAUGCCAGGAAGAGGGAAGAAACUGAAAAACCGAAGCCUACCAACAAAAUGAGCAAGCAUGGCACUAUAAUUACUUGCUCAUUGUGCCAUAACACUGGCCACAACAAGGGAGGCUGCAAGAAGAACCCAGACAGAGGCAAGAAGAAGAAUGCGCACCUUGUGAAGACUACAAAAAAAGGAAGGCAUCAGAUGUAA